AAUUCUAAAGGUUCAAACUUUUACUCUUUUGCUGCUUUAUUUCACAUUUAAAUUGAGAAACCCAAAUUCAUGUUAGUGUAAAGAUUUCCAGCCAUUCAAUUGAAUCACACACUAUACGAAAUUCCAGCAAUCAAUUUCCCCACAGAGCAAAUCCAGAUUUUUGUAUUCUAAGGUUUUGAAACAAAUGACAUUACAAAAUCAUGUGCAUACCAUCUAUUCAUAUAUAUUUACACAUGAAGCAUGACUGUUUUUAAAAGAAAAUGAAGAAAUGAGUCUCGAACUUUGAUUUUUGCUUGUCGAUGGGUUGAGUUGAGAGUAGAGAGAGGCAGAUGCGGUCGGCGGCGGUGGUUCUCCUGCUGCUGUCGGCCGGAGUUUUGAAGGAGAGGACGGCGGCGGCCACGGGUUGCUGUCGCCGGUCUGAUUCAAUGCGAGAGAGAGUGGUGGUGGUGGUGGUUCGCCACUGUCUGAUUCAAUGCGAGAGAGAGAGGGCAGCUCCGGCUGCUGCUCGGUCGAGGGAGAUGGAAGAGAGGUGAGACGGUGGUCGUUGAUGUCGUCUGACUUAGGGGCGAACGAGAGGUGGAUGGUGUACCUAGGGCUCGGCGGUGGCCCAAUUGCCGUUCGGCUGAAGAGUGAGAGUUCAAGCGGCUGCCUUGUCGCUGGGAAUUUAAGGGAAGGGUCUCAGGGGUUGGGGAUCGGGUCUGUGUAUUGAGGGGCGAUGGCGGCGGCCCUAUCGUCGUCGUUCGCUGGAGAUUUAGAGGGAGGCGGCGGCGUUCUCGCCGCAGCCAAGUGAGGAGAUGACGAUGGGGUGAGGAAGAGAGAUGUGUGAUUGGAGAGAGAGAGACCAGAAAGGUCGAGGAAGAGCAGGUGACCGGCGGCGGUCGCCGUCGCCGGAGGAGAAGAAAGAGUGAGAGAAGGUGUGUGUGUGUGUGUGUGUGUGCGCGUGCGUCUGUGUAUGCGUGAGUGUGUGCGUGUGUUUGAUUGUUGAGAGGGAAAUAGAGAGAUGUUGGGGGCGCAGCUAGGGGAAGAAGAGAAGAAAGAAAUGGGAGUGUUGGGCUAGGGCUUGGUUUGUGUGUUGGGCUCCCCUUUUGGGCCGAGUCAUUGGGCCGAUUUAUUUCAAUUAUUUGGGCCGAUUUUCCUUGGUUUUAAAGCUUCAGUUGGGCCAUUGUUUUAAAUAAAUGUGUUGGGCCCUUAUUUUAUUUAAGGACUUUGGACUGCCUUCAAUUAAUUUAAUUGGGCUGCCCUAUUUUAAUUAAUUGAACUAUUAAUUAGUUUGAUUAAUUAUUUUCAAAGAUUAAUUUUCAUAAUAAUAUUUUAUUAUUAUUAGUAAGUGCAUAUUUUAAGUAAAUUACUUAUUAUAUGUUAAGCAUGACAUGAAAUUGCAUUUAUUUUUGCAAUAAAAAUAUUCAUGAUUUAAUUGGUUUUAAUUACAAUUCCAAUUAUUUAAGAAAGUCGAGUAAGAAUAUUGUUGGUGUUCUUAACUCAAGAGAAUUGUUUUCAAUUAUUUAUUCAUUAAAUUUUGAAAACCCGGCUAAGUGAAUCAUAGAAUAUUAAGCACUACACCAUGACUUAAGAUUAGCUUCACGAGACCUAUUAAGAAUAGAAUUUCUUGUAGGCUUUGUGACCAAGGAGGAUUAGCACUGCUUUUCCGAGUCAGUUUAUAUGGUUAAUCUUCAGGCUUUGCCUAUCCAGGUGGGCUUACUUUCCAAAUGUACAAAGUAUGAUUGAGUUAUUAAGCUCUAAAUGUUUCAAUGAAAUGCAAAUUGUUUAUUUAAUGUAAUGAAAACUGUUUAUCCAAUAAAAUGUUUAUGUGCACUCUGCUCUGUUUAAGGCUCGCGCAGUUAAUCAAUUGAGGUUCUCUUAUGACCUAACACGUUGUUUGAGAAUUGUGUACACUUGUUAGUUGACUCGGUGGGUUGAUCUCCAUCGGGCACUAACUAAGAGGCGUUAUAAGGGUGCUCGGCUGGAUGUGUUCCGGAGCAUGAAAUAUCAGGGCCUGCCUGGGUAGCGUCCCGAGGUCAAUUCAACUUGUCUGGGUUACGCCCUCAGUUCAAGUAAAGCGGGAGACAGGGAUCCGUCGGUGGCUAGAGGUCCGGGAGUCACAGCGAGUAACAGAAAGGGAGUGUGACAUGUGCGCACAAAUGAAAGAAAAUGUUUUAACAUGCUUAGAAGUUAUUUCAAUUUAAAACCUUCUAAGUCAUGUCAAGUAUGAUUGGAUAAACUGUCUUUAUUAAAAUAUGAAAUGUUUCAGAAAAUGCAUGCCCACUAAGUACAUUAGUACUUAGCCCAAAAAUACUUUCAAAUGUUUUCAGGUUGGCUGGCCGGUGCUGACGGGACGGAGCUGAGGCUAGUGAUAAAUUCCUAUGUUAGACUUCCGCUGUAGCAAUUACUCAUAUUAGUCUUUUGUUUUCCCAACUUAAGAUCUUCAUGUUAAAUUUCAAAUGAUAUACCUGACCGAACUUAGGCUCUUCACUACUAAAUUUAUGCAAAUGAAUGUCGGUUGUCAGAAGCAUGAAACAAAACUUGUGAUCCAAAGGGGCAUAGCCCGAC
This 2547-nucleotide long non-coding RNA is filed under the name Salvia miltiorrhiza (redroot sage). Its description in RNAcentral is "long non-coding RNA (SMIL_LNC002681)". Lineage: Eukaryota; Viridiplantae; Streptophyta; Magnoliopsida; Lamiales; Lamiaceae. The record is from RNAcentral.